UACGGAGGUAGCUAGCGUUGUUCGGAAUUACUGGGCGUAAAGCGCACGUAGGCGGCUUUUUAAGUCAGGGGUGAAAUCCCGGGGCUCAACCCCGGAACUGCCUUUGAAACUGGAGAGCUAGAAUCUUGGAGAGGCGAGUGGAAUUCCGAGUGUAGAGGUGAAAUUCGUAGAUAUUCGGAAGAACACAAGUGGCGAAGGCGACUCGCUGGACAAGUAUUGACGCUGAGGUGCGAAAGCGUGGGGAGCAAACAGG
RNAcentral lists this ribosomal RNA (253 nucleotides) under uncultured bacterium. Its description in RNAcentral is "partial 16S ribosomal RNA". It matches the Rfam family "Bacterial small subunit ribosomal RNA", at positions 524 to 776 of the family's 1533-position model. The record is from RNAcentral.